This 465-nucleotide ribosomal RNA is filed under the name Vreelandella stevensii. RNAcentral's name for it is "partial 16S ribosomal RNA". It matches the Rfam family "Bacterial small subunit ribosomal RNA", at positions 338 to 795 of the family's 1533-position model. Lineage: Bacteria; Pseudomonadati; Pseudomonadota; Gammaproteobacteria; Oceanospirillales; Halomonadaceae. The record is from RNAcentral.
CCUACGGGUGGCUGCAGUGGGGAAUAUUGGACAAUGGGGGCAACCCUGAUCCAGCCAUGCCGCGUGUGUGAAGAAGGCCCUCGGGUUGUAAAGCACUUUCAGUGAGGAAGAACGCCUGGUGGUUAAUACCCAUCAGGAAAGACAUCACUCACAGAAGAAGCACCGGCUAACUCCGUGCCAGCAGCCGCGGUAAUACGGAGGGUGCGAGCGUUAAUCGGAAUUACUGGGCGUAAAGCGCACGUAGGUGGCUUGAUAAGCCGGUUGUGAAAGCCCCGGGCUCAACCUGGGAACGGCAUCCGGAACUGUCAAGCUAGAGUGCAGGAGAGGAAGGUAGAAUUCCCGGUGUAGCGGUGAAAUGCGUAGAGAUCGGGAGGAAUACCAGUGGCGAAGGCGGCCUUCUGGACUGACACUGACACUGAGGUGCGAAAGCGUGGGUAGCAAACAGGAUUAGAUACCCUAGUAGUC